AGCUAGUGAGGACUUUUGUCUUUGUGCCACAUGUCUGGACCACUGAUAAUUAGAUCAUUAAGAGUU
Small nucleolar RNA from Nothobranchius furzeri (turquoise killifish), 66 nucleotides. The record is from Ensembl. Lineage: Eukaryota; Metazoa; Chordata; Actinopteri; Cyprinodontiformes; Nothobranchiidae.